AACCUAUUAACUUAGCAGUAAUAAUACUUCUAUACUAAGAUAUACUUUAUUGUACAUAAAUACUCACAGCCAAAAUACAGAACAAAAAAAAAAAGUAAAAAAAUACUAAAAUAAGUGUUGGAACUAUUUACCAUCGUCCAAUCCAUGCAUUGCUAAUAUUUUUAGAACUAUCUAAUUCUGCAACCAUCACAAUUAGCAAGAUAUAACAUCAAAACAACUCAGUAUUAAACCUUACACCGGAUCAAAACAUAGA
RNAcentral lists this long non-coding RNA (253 nucleotides) under Ananas comosus (pineapple). Its description in RNAcentral is "long non-coding RNA (ACOM_LNC033405)". Lineage: Eukaryota; Viridiplantae; Streptophyta; Magnoliopsida; Poales; Bromeliaceae. The record is from RNAcentral.